AGAGUUUGAUCCUGGCUCAGGACGAACGCUGGCGGUGCGCCUUAUGCAUGCAAGUCGAGCGAAGCUUUUCAGUAGUUUACUACAGAAAAUGACUGAGCGGCGAACGGGUGAGUAACGCGUGAGCAAUCUACCUUAGUUACUGGGAUAGCCCGAGGAAACUCGGAUUAAUACCGGAUAAUCUUAUUACAUCACAUGAUAUUUUAAGUAAAGGUCAGCCGAACUAAGAUGAGCUCGCGUUCUAUCAGCUUGUUGGUGGGGUAAAAGCCUACCAAGGCUACGACGGAUAGCUGGUCUGAGAGGACGAUCAGCCACACUGGGACUGAGACACGGCCCAGACUCCUACGGGAGGCUGCAGCAGGGAAUAUUGCGCAAUGAGCGAAAGCUUGACGCAGCGACACCGCGUGUGGGAUGACGGUUCUAGGAUUGUAAACCACUUUCAGGAGGGAAGAAAAUGACGGUACCUCCACAAGAAGCCCCGGCCAACUACGUGCCAGCAGCCGCGGUAAUACGUAGGGGGCGAGCGUUGUCCGGAUUUAUUGGGCGUAAAGAGCUCGUAGGCGGUUCAACAAGUCGGUCGUGAAAGUUCAGGGCUUAACCCUGAAAUGUCGAUCGAUACUGUUGUGACUAGGAUAUGGUAGAGGUGAGUGGAAUUCCGAGUGUAGCGGUGAAAUGCGUAGAUAUUCGGAGGAACACCAAUUGCGAAGGCAGCUCACUGGGCCGCUAUCGACGCUGAGGAGCGAAAGCUAGGGGAGCAAACAGGAUUAGAUACCCUGGUAGUCCUAGCUGUAAACGAUGGAUACUAGAUGUAGGAAUUGGAUUGACGAUUUCUGUAUCGUAGCUAACGCGUUAAGUAUCCCGCCUGGGGAGUACGGUCGCAAGACUAAAACUCAAAGGAAUUGACGGGACCCCGCACAAGCGGCGGAGCAUGCGGCUUAAUUCGAUGAUACCCGUAGAACCUUACCUGGACUUGACAUAUAGGGAAAAGUUAUAGAAAUAUAAUGUGCGUAAGCGCCCUAUACAGGUGGUGCAUGGCUGUCGUCAGCUCGUGUCGUGAGAUGUUGGGU
This 1064-nucleotide ribosomal RNA is filed under the name marine metagenome. RNAcentral describes it as "bacterial SSU rRNA". It matches the Rfam family "Bacterial small subunit ribosomal RNA", at positions 8 to 1080 of the family's 1533-position model. The record is from RNAcentral.